GACGGAGGUGGCGAGCGUUGCUCGGAUUCAUUGGGUGUAAAGGGUCGGUAGGCGGUUCAAUAAGUGCCUGGUGAAAUUUCACGGCUUAACCGUGGGACGUCCGGGUAGACUGUUGGACUUGAGGACUGGAGGGGCAGGCGGAAUUCCCGAAGUAGAGUGAAAUCUGUAGAUAUCGGGAGGAACACCAGUGGCGAAGGCGGCCUGCUGGACAGUAUCUGACGCUGAGCGACGAAAGCGUGGGGAGC
RNAcentral lists this ribosomal RNA (245 nucleotides) under uncultured bacterium. RNAcentral describes it as "partial 16S ribosomal RNA". It matches the Rfam family "Bacterial small subunit ribosomal RNA", at positions 524 to 769 of the family's 1533-position model. The record is from RNAcentral.